This 253-nucleotide ribosomal RNA is filed under the name uncultured bacterium. Its description in RNAcentral is "partial 16S ribosomal RNA". It matches the Rfam family "Bacterial small subunit ribosomal RNA", at positions 524 to 776 of the family's 1533-position model. The record is from RNAcentral.
UACGUAGGGCGCAAGCGUUGUCCGGAAUUAUUGGGCGUAAAGAGCUCGUAGGCGGCCUGUUACGUCUGCUGUGAAAGCCCGGGGCUCAACUCCGGGUCUGCAGUGGAUACGGGCAGGCUAGAGUCCGGCAGGGGAGACUGGAACUCCUGGUGUAGCGGUGAAAUGCGCAGAUAUCAGGAAGAACACCGGUGGCGAAGGCGGGUCUCUGGGCCACUACUGACGCUGAGGAGCGAAAGCGUGGGGAGCGAACAGG